CUACCCUAAAGACGAGGAUAACCAUUGGAAACAGUGGCUAAGACUGGAUAGGAAGAUAAAAGGCAUCUUUUAUCUUUUAAAAGACCUAGUAAUAGGUAUGCUUUAGGAGGGGCUUGCGCCAUAUUAGUUAGUUGGUAGGGUAAUGGCCUACCAAGACGAUGAUGUGUAGCUGGACUGAGAGGUUGAACAGCCACAUUGGGACUGAGACACGGCCCAAACUCCUACGGGAGGCAGCAGUAGGGAAUUUUCGGCAAUGGAGGAAACUCUGACCGAGCAACGCCGCGUGAAUGACGAAGUACUUCGGUAUGUAAAGUUCUUUUAUCAAGGAAGAAAAGCAAAUGGCGAACCAUUUGUUUGCCGGUACUUGAUGAAUAAGCCCCGGCUAAUUAUGUGCCAGCAGCCGCGGUAAGACAUAAGGGGCAAGUGUUAUCCGGAAUUAUUGGGCGUAAAGGGUGCGUAGGCGGUCUAGUAAGUCAGUGGUGUAAUGGCAACGCUUAACGUUGUCCGGCUAUUGAAACUGCUAAACUUGAGUUAGAUAGAGGCGAGUGGAAUUCCAUGUGUAGCGGUAAAAUGCGUAAAUAUAUGGAGGAACACCAGAGGCGUAGGCGGCUCGCUGGGUCUUAACUGACGCUGAGGCACGAAAGCGUGGGGAGCAAACAGGAUUAGAUACCCUGGUAGUCCACGCCGUAAACGAUGAGUACUAAGUGUCGGGUUAAACCGGUACUGAAGUUAACACAUUAAGUACUCCGCCUGAGUAGUACGUACGCAAGUAUGAAACUUAAAGGAAUUGACGGGACUCCGCACAAGCGGUGGAUCAUGUUGUUUAAUUCGAAGAUACCCGAAAAACCUUACCAGGUCUUGACAUGUUUUUGCAAAAUGAUAGUAAUAUCGUGGAGGUUACCAGAAACACAGGUGGUGCAUGGUUGUCGUCAGCUCGUGUCGUGAGAUGUUAGGUUAAGUCCUAAAACGAGCGAAACCCUUAUCGUUAGUUGCCAGCACGUUAUGGUGGGGACUUUAACGAGACUGCCAAUGAUAAAUUGGAGGAAGGUGAGGAUCACGUCAAAUCAGCAUGCCCCUUAUGACCUGGGCUACAAACGUGAUACAAUGGCUGUUACAAAGGGUAGCUGAAACGCAAGUUCUUGGCCAAUCCCCAAAAACAGUCCCAGUCCGGAUUGAAGUCUGCAACUCGACUUCAUGAAGUUGGAAUCGCUAGUAAUCGCGAAUCAGCAUGUCGCGGUGAAUACGUUCUCGGGGUUUGUACACACCGCCCGUCAAACCACGAAAGUUGGCAAUACCCCAAAACGGUAGCCUAACUCGUUUAUUCRAGAGGGCGCCGUCUAAGGUAGGGUCGAUGAUUGGGGUUAAGUCGUAACAAGGUAUCCCUACCGGAAGGUGGGGAUGGAUCACCUCCUUUCU
This 1416-nucleotide ribosomal RNA is filed under the name Eggplant phyllody phytoplasma. Its description in RNAcentral is "16S ribosomal RNA". It matches the Rfam family "Bacterial small subunit ribosomal RNA". Lineage: Bacteria; Bacillati; Mycoplasmatota; Mollicutes; Acholeplasmatales; Acholeplasmataceae. The record is from RNAcentral.